AUUGAACGCUGGCGGCAUGCUUUACACAUGCAAGUCGAACGGUAACAGGCCGCAAGGUGCUGACGAGUGGCGAACGGGUGAGUAAUGCAUCGGAACGUGCCCAGUCGUGGGGGAUAACGCAGCGAAAGCUGCGCUAAUACCGCAUACGAUCUAUGGAUGAAAGCGGGGGACCGUAAGGCCUCGCGCGAUUGGAGCGGCCGACGCCAGAUUAGGUAGUUGGUGGGGUAAAGGCUCACCAAGCCAACGAUCUGUAGCUGGUCUGAGAGGACGACCAGCCACACUGGGACUGAGACACGGCCCAGACUCCUACGGGAGGCAGCAGUGGGGAAUUUUGGACAAUGGGCGCAAGCCUGAUCCAGCAAUGCCGCGUGCAGGAAGAAGGCCUUCGGGUUGUAAACUGCUUUUGCACGGAACGAAACGGUCCUGGUUAAUACCUGGGGCUAAUGACGGUACCGUAAGAAUAAGCACCGGCUAACUACGUGCCAGCCGCCGCAGUAA
RNAcentral lists this ribosomal RNA (498 nucleotides) under uncultured bacterium. RNAcentral describes it as "partial 16S ribosomal RNA". It matches the Rfam family "Bacterial small subunit ribosomal RNA", at positions 29 to 523 of the family's 1533-position model. The record is from RNAcentral.